CAGUAGCCGCGGGAAUACGUAGGGUGCGAGCGUUAAUCGGAAUUACUGGGCGUAAAGCGUGCGCAGGCGGUCGCGUAAGACAGGUGUGAAAUCCCCGGGCUUAACCUGGGAACUGCGCUUGUGACUGGCGGGCUCGAGUACGGUAGAGGGGGGUGGAAUUCCUGGUGUAGCAGUGAAAUGCGUAGAGAUCAGGAGGAACACCGAUGGCGAAGGCAGCCCCCUGGGCCUGUACUGACGCUCAUGCACGAAAGCGUGGGGAGCAAACAGGAUUAGAUACCCCCGUAGUCUGUCUCUUAUACAC
RNAcentral lists this ribosomal RNA (301 nucleotides) under uncultured bacterium. RNAcentral describes it as "partial 16S ribosomal RNA". It matches the Rfam family "Bacterial small subunit ribosomal RNA", at positions 509 to 809 of the family's 1533-position model. The record is from RNAcentral.